UUGACCUCGGAUCAGGUAGGAAUACCCGCUGAACUUAAGCAUAUCAAUAGGCA
This 53-nucleotide ribosomal RNA is filed under the name Trichoderma asperellum. RNAcentral describes it as "partial 28S ribosomal RNA". Lineage: Eukaryota; Fungi; Ascomycota; Sordariomycetes; Hypocreales; Hypocreaceae. The record is from RNAcentral.